AUCCUUGUACGGCAGUUCUUCCUGGUUAUACGCGGUAGAAUUUUUGAAUUGCGCUAGUGUAGCCUACCUCGUAUCCCAACACCUCCACCCUCUCCACCGCCUUCUCCCUAGUGAGCGCCGUCAUCUCUCCCUCUCCCUCUCCCAUCCUUGCAUUCUUGUUCUUGAGGUUUCCAAGCCUAGGGUGUAGUGGAUUUGAUUGUUCUUGGGGUGUAGUUGACUCCUUGUUAGUUGAUUCCAA
Molecule: long non-coding RNA, 238 nt
Filed under: Setaria italica (foxtail millet)
Lineage: Eukaryota; Viridiplantae; Streptophyta; Magnoliopsida; Poales; Poaceae
Description: long non-coding RNA (SITA_LNC001147)
Source: RNAcentral